CUAUCAUCGAGAAAGGUGGAGGGACUGGCCCUGAGAAGCCUUGGCAACCGUCACGCACAGUGAUUGGUGCCAAUUCCAUCCCGGACUGCGAGCCGGGAGAGAUGAUGG
RNAcentral lists this non-coding RNA (108 nucleotides) under Chlorobium limicola. RNAcentral's name for it is "SAM-I sequence". It matches the Rfam family "SAM riboswitch aptamer (S box leader)". Rfam says of the family: The SAM riboswitch is found upstream of a number of genes which code for proteins involved in methionine or cysteine biosynthesis in Gram-positive bacteria. The SAM riboswitch acts at the level of transcription termination control. RNAcentral also lists the same sequence under 1 other name. Lineage: Bacteria; Pseudomonadati; Chlorobiota; Chlorobiia; Chlorobiales; Chlorobiaceae. The record is from RNAcentral.